AUCAAAAAAUUGCGUUAUACUCUUAUUGAUCCUCUCCACGGAAAUCUUUAGUAAAAGGCGAAAGAUUUAUUCGAUCUGAAGAGAAACAAGAGCGAUCUGAUAAUCGAUAGUUCCUCUGAUCGACCUGAUUGGAGCCAACAGCGCUUUGUGUUGUGGUGUUCACUGUCAAAUGUUACUGAGACUAAAAUCUAAACCCACAUAAAGUGCAAAUAAACAACCCAAUAAAUAAAUCAAUCACUGAGGACUUUUAAUGAGACAAACGAACUUUUAUUCGCCUCUAGUUCGCCGAUCGCACGGUGGCGCAAAGCAUGAUGGGAUUACGUUCUUACGUCCCGGUUACGUAGAAUUUAUAUUUUAAAUCUGUUAUUUUGUUUGAAUUUAAAAUAAUUAAAUUAAUCUCUCAAUCAGAAGCACAACUGCACUGAUACAUUUAUUAAUUCAGACUGUUUGUAUUUAUACUUUUAGAUAAAUAAAUAAAUCUUACAUUAAAGUUUCAUAAAGCCCCGCCCCCUCACACAGAGACUAUAAACUGACACUGGAAGAUAAAGUUUCAUUAUUAACUUGUUUAUUUAUUUUUCACAUAUCAGGAAGCCCCACAGUUAAGCAGGGCAUCAAAAAAUUGCGUUAUACUCUUAUUGAUCCUCUCCACGGAAAUCUUUAGUAAAAGGCGAAAGAUUUAUUCGAUCUGAAGAGAAAUCAGAGUGAUAUAGUGACACAGACACUGAGAGCCCGCUGCCUUUAACGGGAACAUGUACUUCAUCAACGGUGUAUUGUUGCUGCCACUAAAUAAAAACCCUGAACAAACUGUUGGGGACAAACACAGCAGUGCUGAUAAAUGGAAACUUUGCGCUGGUUAACUUUGAUACUUGAAACGAACCGUUGAUCCGUUUAUUAACGGCUUUUAACUGGUGGCGCAAAGCAUGCUGGGAGUGGAGGGCUGAACGACCGUUAAUUUCCGUUUGUUGUUAAUUUGUCUCUUCCCGGUUGUUUGUUUGUUUUUUAAAGUUUAUAAAUGUAAUAAAGUGCAACAGUUUGUAUAUACAGACUACAAUGUCACCGCCGACAGUUGUUCAUAUAGUUUGUAUUAAAGUUUGAGUGUGACAGCCGUUGACUGACCAAAGACUGCAGAUUGAAUGAACAACAACGACCUCCUGUGGUAACACAACACAAUAAACUGCUGCUAUCAAGGCCGGAUUAACCUCUAAAGGGCCCAGGGCAGAGAGGGCACAAGAACAAGAUCUGGUUAUAUCUCGUUUAUAUGUUGAACUGUCCGCCGGAGCCGUUGCGCUGCACAUAAUCUCUGCCCCUGGCUGCCUGUGACUGUGACCGUGAGCUGAGACCCUCUCCUCAUUGGUCAGCCCGUAUGAGGCAGGUCAAAGGUGACGCCAAUCAACGUGCACUGAGCAGGUCGCGUGACGUCAAGCGCCGCUACGCAACACUACUCAAACAUGGAGAAUCUCAGUGGGAGCGCCAAACGGAAAUUAAAAAAGGAAACAUUUAAAAUAUAUACCGAAAGUAGGGAGUUUCUUCACGCUAGUAAACGUUAGCAACUGUUCUGCUAAGGCAGCAUCCGUCAACGAGGACCGCUCAGCUAGCCAGGACACUUCUUCACUGCCGGCGCUAGCUAAUGUUCACAGCCCCGAGAGCGAAGAGCCCCCGGCGGCAUCUUCAACCGACGGCCCGGGUUCUGCUGCGAGUGCGACCGGUGAGGGAAGCGGUGAUGGGUCUCUAGUCUCACCGCCAGCUGAACCGCUCGUCGAGUCUGCGAGCAGCCCCUGUACGAGCCGUUGAGGAUCCCCCCGGUGCCCACCACGGCACAGCGCACGCAGCCGCCACUGCCGGGCUUUGGAAGCAGCAGCGGCUCGUUCGGUUUCGGGAUCAACUUCACUGCAGACUCUGCGGGUUGUCUUCCGUGGCGGAGUCCGUCAUGUUGAACCGUGCUUGGAAAGGGAAGGUAAAGCAACUCCUCCGAGGACAUCAUCACUUGCAAGUGGUGGGAUCGCGCCUUUCCGGGGAUGUACUUCAAGCACUCGCUGUCAUUUGAUUCGACUUUAUCUGAUCAAUCAGAGUAAACGCUGAUUAGAAAUCAA
This is a long non-coding RNA of Dicentrarchus labrax (European seabass), 2090 nucleotides long. RefSeq lists it as uncharacterized. The transcript is spliced from 4 exons. The record is from RefSeq and is a predicted model, not a curated record. NCBI's taxonomy places the organism in Eukaryota, Metazoa, Chordata, Actinopteri, Moronidae.